Acanthosepion pharaonis is the source of this 99-nucleotide non-coding RNA. Lineage: Eukaryota; Metazoa; Mollusca; Cephalopoda; Sepiida; Sepiidae. The record is from the annotation of a GenBank genome assembly.
UUACGGCCACAUCACGUUGACGCACUGGUUCCAAUAGGAUCACUGAAGUUCAGCAACGUCGGGCCUGGUCAGUACUUAGUUGGGUAACCGCUUGGGAAU